This 301-nucleotide ribosomal RNA is filed under the name uncultured bacterium. RNAcentral's name for it is "partial 16S ribosomal RNA". It matches the Rfam family "Bacterial small subunit ribosomal RNA", at positions 509 to 809 of the family's 1533-position model. The record is from RNAcentral.
CAGUCGCCGCGGUAAUACGUAGGUGGCAAGCGUUGACCGGAAUUAUUGGGCGUAAAGGGCUCGCAGGCGGUUUCUUAAGUCUGAUGUGAAAGCCCCCGGCUCAACCGGGGAGGGUCAUUGGAAACUGGGAAACUUGAGUGCAGAAGAGGAGAGUGGAAUUCCACGUGUAGCGGUGAAAUGCGUAGAGAUGUGGAGGAACACCAGUGGCGAAGGCGACUCUCUGGUCUGUAACUGACGCUGAGGAGCGAAAGCGUGGGGAGCGAACAGGAUUAGAUACCCCAGUAGUCCCUGUCUUUUAUAC